AGGAAGCCUUCUCAGAGCAGCCAGCGUGGAAGGAGAAAGGAAGAAGAGACUUAGUCUAUGGGGCUCACAGAAACACAGAGCAGCUCGGACAGGAUGCUGGUCCUCAGAGAACCUCAGAUCUCCUGAGGAUGGAUGGACCAAUGGACUCCUCCUGUGUACAAGUUCCUGAUGCAGCUUCUCAUCCCAAGUCCUGCCCGAGUUCCGUGGAUGUGAGCUACUUUGGAAAAGGUUCUCUGGGAAGGUGGCUGUGGUGGUACAUGACUGCAAUCCCAGCAACC
Onychomys torridus (southern grasshopper mouse) is the source of this 278-nucleotide long non-coding RNA. RefSeq lists it as uncharacterized. Lineage: Eukaryota; Metazoa; Chordata; Mammalia; Rodentia; Cricetidae. The record is from RefSeq and is a predicted model, not a curated record. The transcript has 3 exons.